GCUGAAGCAGGUCCCAAGGGUAUGGCUGUUCGCCAUUUAAAGAGGUACGCGAGCUGGGUUUAGAACGUCGUGAGUCAGUUCGGUCCCUAUCUACCGUGGGCGCUGGAAAUUUGAGAGGAUCUGCUCCUAGUACGAGAGGACCAGAGUGGACGAACCUCUGGUGUACCGGUUGUGACGCCAGUCGCAUCGCCGGGUAGCUAUGUUCGGAAGGGAUAACCGCUGAAAGCAUCUAAGCGGGAAGCCUACCUCAAGAUAAGAUUUCCCUAGGACUUUAUGUCCUCUAAAGAGCCGUUCGAGACUAGGACGUUGAUAGGUUGGAUGUGGAAGCAUAGUGAUAUGUGAAGCUGACCAAUACUAAUUGCUCGUGAGGCUUGACUAU
Molecule: ribosomal RNA, 379 nt
Filed under: Acinetobacter baumannii
Lineage: Bacteria; Pseudomonadati; Pseudomonadota; Gammaproteobacteria; Moraxellales; Moraxellaceae
Description: partial 23S ribosomal RNA
Rfam family: Bacterial large subunit ribosomal RNA
Source: RNAcentral